This 464-nucleotide ribosomal RNA is filed under the name uncultured Deferribacteres bacterium. RNAcentral's name for it is "bacterial SSU rRNA". It matches the Rfam family "Bacterial small subunit ribosomal RNA", at positions 917 to 1382 of the family's 1533-position model. Lineage: Bacteria; Pseudomonadati; Deferribacterota; Deferribacteres. The record is from RNAcentral.
GGGCCCGCACAAGCGGUGGAGCAUGUGGUUUAAUUCGAUGCAACGCGAAGAACCUUACCUGGGCUUAAACUGCAGCGGAAAUCCGGUGAAAGCCGGCCCUCCUUCGGGAUCGCUGUAGAGGUGCUGCAUGGCUGUCGUCAGCUCGUGUCGUGAGAUGUUGGGUUAAGUCCCGCAACGAGCGCAACCCUUGUCCUUAGUUGCCAUCAGGUAAUGCUGGGCACUCUAGGGAGACUGCCUCGGAAGACGAGGAGGAAGGUGGGGAUGACGUCAAGUCCUCAUGGCCCUUACGUCCAGGGCUACACACGUGCUACAAUGGCCGGUACAGAGGGAUGCAAUACCGCGAGGUGGAGCCAAUCCCCAAAACCGGUCUCAGUUCGGAUUGGAGUCUGCAACUCGACUCCAUGAAGUUGGAAUCGCUAGUAAUCGCGAAUCAGCAGGUCGCGGUGAAUACGUUCCCGGGCCUU